RNAcentral lists this ribosomal RNA (336 nucleotides) under Triticum aestivum (bread wheat). Its description in RNAcentral is "partial small subunit ribosomal RNA". The record is from RNAcentral. Lineage: Eukaryota; Viridiplantae; Streptophyta; Magnoliopsida; Poales; Poaceae.
AUGUCCUCACGAUCUCCUUCCUUUCCUCCUGAUCUCCUUUCCUUUCCCGCCCUUCUGAUUUCCUUCCUUUUCACGCGCCUUCCAAAUUUUUGGGCAAAAAUAAUGCUUGAAUUGGGAUUUGAACUCUGGUCUGCAGGUAAUCAACAAAGGGAGCUAACCACCUCACCUAUGACACUCAUUGUUGAACAAGCUAAGGAAAAUAUUGUUUUGACAUGUUUUGCCUUUAAUAUUUUAGCACUGAAAAACUUAUGUUUCACCUAUCAAACCUGGCACAUAAACUUUUCCCGUGGUAAAUUCUCCAUCACUACCACGAUAAAUGAUGCGCCACCAACAUGA